UUAAAAAGCUUCUUAUCUCACAGAGCCGUAGAGCAGAUAGUGAUGAAAACCAGGCCCAGGACUUAAUUGUCAGGUUAACAAAAUGACAAGGGAGACGAUGACCAGCCUUCAUAGUCCUACAUUAAAUCUGGGCCUUUAAUAGAUGUAGCCGCAGUUCCUUCAGAACUCACUUGCGAACAUUUGAUGACUAAGCCAGAAAAUCUUGGGCCAUGGAUUCUUCUGAACCUUGCACUAGGCUUUCUGUACUUGGAGAACCUGGAGAGAUGUCACUCGGGACAGGUGCCUCAAAAGGGGUACAUGUGUUCCUCAAGAAGUCGUCCUGCCUUUUCUGCCUCCAGACCAAUAACCAGGGGCAGGACUCAGGAUAGUCCAAACAGAGAAAUACUUGCCCUGUUCUGGGAGGAAGUAAAGCAUAUAACCUCAAAUUGUAAAAUGCAUACCAGUAAGAAUUGCAAAAAAGUAUGGUGGAGUAGAACUUGAGGGUGAUGGAUGGACGGCAGAGGUGGUAUAUUCAAUAGCAUCGGAGUACUCUCCCGUGACGCAGGAUUUAAAGUUUUGAAUGAACCUGUGGCUAUUUACCAGAUUAACUCAACACUGGAAAAAGACAUUUCCAGCUGACAUGGUUAUUGGGAGACUCAAAACACUCUCCUAGUACCCUAUCCAGAGUGGAGGCUAGUGGAGGAGAAGGGGCAAAUGGAAACCUCAUUUAAGUUGAUCUCACAUUGAUCCAUGGACCUGUGAGGCACAGGAUUCUAGAUGAUGCUGUAACACCUCCAUUGGUACUAUUGAUAUUGGAGGCCUUAUCUUACUCACCUCUCCAUUCUGAACACAUCUGACAAUUAGCUCUUCAGAGUUCUCAGUUGAGCCUGUUUUUAAAUUGGAUGUGGAAAGUGUAAGUGGAAAAUUGGAUAUGUAAGAGAAAGAGACUGAAGAAUUAAAAUCAACCUGCUCGUAAGUAUAGCUUAUCUUUUCCUAAAAGGUGCCUUACGUUGUUGUGGCAGAAGGUAAUCAUUAUACUGUCUUGGUUCUAUUGUAUGUGGAAAAUAUUUGCAUGAAGUCAUUGUCUAGAAGUAACACCUGGGAGUAUGCAAUUGAUUUUGAUUUUGGUACGUAUCACCCAAUUUAAGGUAUGCUUCUAUGGCACAUUACUUUUCCAGUGGGAAGUGACUAGUUAAAUGUUGAGCAAGAAUCCUCAUGGAGAGCAGUAGAAAUAUCUAAUGAAUAGAAAUAUCUAAUGAUUUGUGCAGAAACGAAUGAACAUAGCAGGACUGCUAUCCUUAGAAAAGCCUGUUUGCAAGGCUGCUCCUUGACUGAGGAUAUACAGAGGGUUUCCAAAGCCUUAACUCAUGAACGUGCUCACUCUGCCUAAAUAGUUUGUGCAAACAAUAUUAUUUAUGCUGGAAACCUGCUUUCCUUCUGGGAUUCUGGAGUUUGGGUACAUGCUAGGUGAAAACUGCCUAUCUGAUCAGUCCCCAGUACAAAUCCCCGGCACUGGGUUUCUCAUUAGCUUCCCUGAUAAGUAACACUUGUCUCAUUUUCUCACAACUCCUACCUGGGAACUUAAGUAUGUGCUAUGACACUCUGGUGAAAGAGGGUUCCCGGGAGCUGUGUCUAGUUUCUUCUGGGCUUUACUCAAAGUACCUUUUCUCUUUGCUGAUUUUGCUUUUUGCAUCUUUUCACUUUAAUAAAUCAUAGACAUAGUUCUGAGUCCUGGGAGUGCUUCUGGAGAGAUCAAAUUUGGUGGGAGUCUUGAAGACCCCUAUGACACUAACUCAAAAAUGAUACUGGCUAACCGGUACAGAGACUGAUUUGCUCUAGGUACUGUUCCAAGAACGUUAUGUACAUGAAACCAUUCGUUACUCACUUCGAUUUCACUAUGGGGAUACUAUCACGAACACAACCAUUUGGGGAAACCAAGGCAUAGAGAAAUAGCUCGCCUUCCUCUUGUAAGUUUCAGAGCUGGGAUGAUAUGCCAGAAGGCAAUUAUGCAGUGAACUGGAGGGAGAGAAUUCAAUCAGUGAACCGCAAACUAAUUUUUGCCUGAAUAAGCUCAGUGUUUGACUAAUGAUGGGCAAUUUGAAUAUAAAUUUUACUUAUAUAAAAUUUUAUUUACUUAUAUACAUUUAAAGUUCUCUUAUGAGAACUCUAGAUUUUUACUCUCAUCAGUGAUCUCCUCAGACCUUUUAAUAUUUGACUGGUAAAUGAUUCUCCAUCAAAUAGCCCAUGCACCUGUGUUUUUCUCUUAUGUCCAAACAGUUAUGCAAAUAACAGUUUCUUUUUAGGUUGCUCUCUCAGGGCAGCAGUAAGAAAAAAGAAUGUUUGGGAAUGUACCUUAAAACCUUUUUGGUUGAAGGGUGCCUGGCUGGCUCAGUCGGUAGAGCAUGAUGAGGCUCGUAAUCUCAGGGUUGUGAGCUUGAGUCGCCCAUUGGAUUUAAAAAUAAAAUCUUUAAAAAGAAAAAGAAAAAAAAUUUAAUUGAUGCAGCUCUCCUCCAUAACUUUGCCUCCAAACGAAUUAUUCAAAUUCAGAAUUUUAUUUAAUAUUUUCUCAGGAAUAAAAGCAAUAUUUUUGUCCAAACGAAAUUAUUUGCUUCUGUGGGACCCAGUUAUCUGGCAUCAUGAAUGAUAUUCCUUUUUUUUUUUUUUUUGAAUGAUAGUCUUGGAAAUCUCUACCCUUGUGCAAGUAACUCUAUGCUAAGAUGUACUCCAGGGUUUAUACCCAUAACAUGAAGAAGGUGAGUGCAGUGAGAAGGAAAGUUAAACAAGCUUUAUGUAAGUGGUGAGUCAAAGGACAAUUUAUUCUUAGAGCACUAAGUCCGGAUAUCCAGAAACCAGAUUUUGGUCAAAACUUUCAUGGAGAGGGCACAUGCAUAGAACCUUCCCAAAAAUGAGCAUAAGGAUGUUAUCAGAAAGGGAAUAUUUAUAGAGUCUCAUAUGAUCUCCUCUCAAGGUUUUACUCAUUAUAAAGGGACAGAUAAGAACAUUUUAGUGGUGAAACCUGGUAGAUUCCACCUUAAACGAUUAAUCAUUGUUAGUAUCACACGCCUUCUGAUAUAAUGCACUGAGGGAGACAAAAGUUUGUUUUUAAGAUAGUCUCACCAAAAAUGCAUAGCCUGAGUCCGUCCGGUCAGGGGUAUACAUCAGACAAACCCAAACUGAGGAACAUUACAAAAUGACUUCAUGCUUCAAGAACAUGAAGAAUUGCCGAUAGGUAAUUCCAGAUCAAGGGAGACUAAGGAGACAUAAGAGAAUUAUAUGUAAUAUACGAUCUUGGAUUGGAUCCUAGGUCUGAGAAGUAAAAAAGCCAAGGCUACAUAGGUCAUUAGUGGGACAGCUGAUGAAACUUGAAUGAAGUUGGUAUCUUAGAAAUCACACUGUAUCAUUAUGAAUUUUAUGAUUUUUGAUAUUUCUACCAUGGUUAUAGUCUUUAUCUUAGGAAGUAUGCAGUGAAAUGCUUAGGGGGGUAGAGAGGCACAUGUCCGCAACUUACUUCAAAGUGUUGCUAAAACUAACACAUGUGCGCGUGCACGUGUGUGUGUACGUGAGAGAGACAAUGACAAGGCACGUGUGGUAAAUAUUCACAUUUAGGGAGUAUGGAUGAAGGAUAGCAGUAAUGCUUUCUACCACUUUUGCAGCUUUUUUGUAAGUCCGAAAUUAGUUCAAAAAUUAAAAAUAAAAGUUUUUUAAUGAGGUCAGAGUCAGAGAGGGCUUUAGAGUUAAAAUAAAACCCCGGGGCAGAUUUCACUCACAUGGAAGAGGUUAUGAUUAAACAUUUGGUCAGUGAGCCAGGCCACACAGCUUGGCUGGGUGCCUCUUCUGUUCAGCCAUUCUCCCGUGGUGUUAGACUUCCACAUGAGUGAACGGAACAGCAGAGAUCCUGCCAUGGGAUGCUCACAUUCCAGUGGGAAAAGACCAACAACAACACAAACAAAAGUUCUGAGUGCAUUAGAACGUGAUAAUAACUAAGGAAAAUGAAAAACAGAUUGGAAGAAAUGUGACAAGUGUGCCAGGAGGACACUGUGGUUAAUGACCUGGUGGCUACACGUCUGGGGAACCCUUUGGCCUCCUCCUUGAGAAACUCUCCACAUCCAAGGGAGAGCUUCAUUCAGUUCAGACCCCCAGGGUGACAGGACCUUUGCCACACGAUAACUACUGCUGCUCUACUACUCUGACAGUAGGAUGACUCACCUUGGUAUGACGGAAGGAUUGUUUCUUCCAGAAGUACCAGUUUUUAUAUGGAAAACACGACCCAAAGCAAGAAACACAGCACUAUUUCUCUGAUGCUCACAAGUAUUGAGAUUCGGUUCAAGUUAAUAGAUUAGUAAGAUUUUCAGUUAGUUUAUUUUCCAAAAGCUUCUGAGAGAACGAGCCCAGUGUUUUAGACUUCCAGAAACCUAGCUGACCCCUUCCUAGCCCUGUGAUGCUACAGCCCACAGUUGGGACCACGUGACCGUCCCACCAGUUCAGGUUCACCUGCAAGCCUGGGGACCACUCCUCUUUGCAGGAAGGAAGCCCCAGGUUAGUUGUUCCGGUGACUCAACGUCAGUUCAAACUCAUUGUACCCAGUUUAAAUGACUGACUCUUUGCCUUUUUCUUAGACCUUGUACCGGAAGUCUUCCCACUCAGUCUUACUCAAGAGCCUUGAGGGUAUAUGAGAGACAGAUUGGUCUGCUCCUGUUCCUUGAUGACUUAACAGCCAUAGGAAUACUAUUUAUUGUUUAGUGUGUGCCAGAUACUGCAUUAAAGUCCUCUGUUCUUUGAUAUGGGAGUCUUGUUUGGUACACAAAGAAGGAAGACCUGGAGAGUGUGAGUUGGCCAAGAUUGCCAUAAGGUUGGGUUUAACCCAGCGGUCCACCCCAGAACUAGAGCAUGUUCCUAACGCUGACUUCAGCAUGCCUCGAUUUCCGUAUUCCAGUUUUUCUAGUUUGUCUUUUUCCCUGCUCUGUCGAUUUCCUGCAUCACUCACUUUUUGCUAGAUUUAUACAGAUGUCCACAUGCGGUUGCUCUUCUUUCUCUUGGGUUAUCUUGCUUUGUUCAAAGCAGGGUUCCCCCAACCUGACGGGUCUGUUCCCCAGCACUCUAUCCAUUCCCAACUUCUUUUUGAGGCUCUCCAUAGAACUUCCUAAAACAAAGCAUGAGGAAUCACAAACCUGGAACCAGUUUCUUCUCUCUCCAAACUUACAUGAACUAGGCAAGUCAGUCAUUCUUUCUAUGUAAAAUAUGAUGCUAGCUUGCCAAGGGAGAGUAAAACUCAUAAAAGUAAAGUAAGAUGGUGUACAUGAAAGUAACCACCAUGUUUCCAAGGCCAUCGAAUUUUUCUCUCUGUUUAUAUUUCAGUGUGUUUGUAUCUGUGUGUGUGUGUGUGUGUGUGUUUAACCUCCUCUUGAUGCUUAGACAUUGCAUUUGUAUAUUUACACUAGAUGCGUCUGUAAUGGGACUGUUAGAUUACAUAUUACUAUGUGCAUGUUACAGGAACAUCUUUUGCUCCAACUCAUAAUGAUUUUGUGGGAAAUUUUAAGAAUUUAAGAAUGCUUGGCUACCAAAGUGGUUCCCGGCCAGCUUUCUCUACUAGCACAUCAGCAAGAUGCCAACAUACUUCAUCGGGAGAAGUGACUCAUCACCCAGAAAUUACUCUCAACACCAGAAAGGCAGGCAACUCCAAGAGGGCAUUUUACCAUUUCUGUUGAGGAGGGAUAUAAAUAAUUUGAAACGUGCCUGUCUCUGGACUUUCCUGGUGUGCUCCUCAGAGAAAGGGCAGA
Molecule: long non-coding RNA, 5756 nt
Organism: Mustela erminea (ermine)
Lineage: Eukaryota; Metazoa; Chordata; Mammalia; Carnivora; Mustelidae
Exons: 3
Source: RefSeq, a predicted model, not a curated record